Molecule: ribosomal RNA, 446 nt
Filed under: uncultured bacterium
Lineage: Bacteria
Description: partial 16S ribosomal RNA
Rfam family: Bacterial small subunit ribosomal RNA
Source: RNAcentral
CCUACGGGAGGCAGCAGUCGAGAAUCAUUCACAAUGGGGGAAACCCUGAUGGUGCGACGCCGCGUGGGGGAAUGAAGGUCUUCGGAUUGUAAACCCCUGUCAUGUGGGAGCAAAUUAAAAAGAUAGUACCACAAGAGGAAGAGACGGCUAACUCUGUGCCAGCAGCCGCGGUAAUACAGAGGUCUCAAGCGUUGUUCGGAAUCACUGGGCGUAAAGCGUGCGUAGGCUGUUUCGUAAGUCGUGUGUGAAAGGCGCGGGCUCAACCCGCGGACGGCACAUGAUACUGCGAGACUAGAGUAAUGGAGGGGGAACCGGAAUGCUCGGGGUAGCAGUGAAAUGCGGAGAGAUCGAGAGGAACACUCGUGGCGAAGGCGGGUUCCUGGACAUUAACUGACGCUGAGGCACGAAGGCCAGGGGAGCGAAAGGGAUUAGAUACCCUUGUAGUC